Molecule: ribosomal RNA, 201 nt
Filed under: Mammaliicoccus sciuri
Lineage: Bacteria; Bacillati; Bacillota; Bacilli; Caryophanales; Staphylococcaceae
Description: Staphylococcus sciuri partial 16S ribosomal RNA
Rfam family: Bacterial small subunit ribosomal RNA
Source: RNAcentral
UUUAUGGAGAGUUUGAUCCUGGCUCAGGAUGAACGCUGGCGGCGUGCCUAAUACAUGCAAGUCGAGCGAACAGAUGAGAAGCUUGCUUCUCUGAUGUUAGCGGCGGACGGGUGAGUAACACGUGGGUAACCUACCUAUAAGACUGGGAUAACUCCGGGAAACCGGGGCUAAUACCGGAUAAUAUUUUGAACCGCAUGGUUC